Molecule: long non-coding RNA, 201 nt
Filed under: Elaeis guineensis (African oil palm)
Lineage: Eukaryota; Viridiplantae; Streptophyta; Magnoliopsida; Arecales; Arecaceae
Description: long non-coding RNA (EGUI_LNC022096)
Source: RNAcentral
GGAAUUGGAAUAGAUUUGUGUUGCAGUAGAGCUCUGGAAGAGGGAUGAUGAGGUCGGUCCUGGAGAGUUGUUAAGGCUUGAGUUGGUGAAGACUAUAAAGAAUUUUACAAAAAUAAUUCUAAAAUCGUGGGAUACUGUCCAAUUUAGGAUCCUCCAAUGAUUAAGUCAGUCAGAACUUUGAGAACAUAUAGAGAAAAAUAG